AAAUUAGGAAGCAUUCUUUUCUUUCAUAGGUGCUUUGGAAAGUAACUCAACAGCAAGGGUCUUCUUAUCGAACAAUAAGUGCAUUUAAGAUGUCAGUGCGUCUUUUUACAAUCCUUUCUUUGACCCUUGUCAUAGUGUCCUUUAUGUCAGCAGAGGUCAAUGCCAAAGGGUCAUGUUCUUAUGCCUGCAUGAAAACUCUGUUUUCCUGUAAGCGUCGGAAUGGAGAAGAGUGUUGUACUAAAUUUGCUGAAUGUUUUAUGUCCUGUGGGUUGUCAGCUCCACCGUGUGCUGGGAAACGUGGGAGCUGGAACAAGCGCUAUCAGGCUCCCAGGGGGUACGAUGAUACCGAACUAUAUCCUUACUAUUGAAUCUAUAACUGUUGAUGCACAGACAUUUCCUUUAUAUUUCAGUCAAAACUGCUUGUUAAAUUAACCAUAGUGAUGAACAGAGAAACUAGACGACUAAAAUUUGAUGCAAUUUAUGACAUAUGCACAAGUUAAAAGAACAAAAAGAUCCAUUAAUUUGUCUCCCUGUUUUUCAGUUGUUAUACUUAAUAUCUUCACAUCGAUUUUAAAUAAAAUUAUAUACUUGUU
This is a long non-coding RNA of Saccostrea echinata, 593 nucleotides long. RefSeq lists it as uncharacterized. The transcript is spliced from 3 exons. Lineage: Eukaryota; Metazoa; Mollusca; Bivalvia; Ostreida; Ostreidae. The record is from RefSeq and is a predicted model, not a curated record.